GACGAACGCUGGCGGCGUGCUUAACACAUGCAAGUCGAACGGAAAGGCCCUGCUUUUGUGGGGUGCUCGAGUGGCGAACGGGUGAGUAACACGUGAGUAACCUGCCCUUGACUUUGUGAUAACUUCAGGAAACUGGGGCUAAUACCGGAUAGGAGCUCCUGCUGCAUGGUGGGGGUUGGAAAGUUUCGGCGGUUGGGGAUGGACUCGCGGCUUAUCAGCUUGUUGGUGGGGUAGUGGCUUACCAAGGCUUUGACGCGUAGCCGGCCUGAGAGGGUGACCGGCCACAUUGGGACUGAGAUACGGCCCAGACUCCUACGGGAGGCAGCAGUGGGGAAUAUUGCACAAUGGGCGGAAGCCUGAUGCAGCAACGCCGCGUGCGGGAUGACGGCCUUCGGGUUGUAAACCGCUUUCGCCUGUGACGAAGCGUGAGUGACGGUAAUGGGUAAAGAAGCACCGGCUAACUACGUG
This 468-nucleotide ribosomal RNA is filed under the name uncultured bacterium. RNAcentral describes it as "partial 16S ribosomal RNA". It matches the Rfam family "Bacterial small subunit ribosomal RNA", at positions 28 to 507 of the family's 1533-position model. The record is from RNAcentral.